AUAUAUAUUUGUGUAUAUGUGUGUAAUAUAGUGUAUAUUGUAUAUGUUUUAUAUAUAAUAUUUAUGUAUUUAUACAUAAUACUCAUAUUUAUGCACACACAUACACAAAAGAUACAUAUUAGGAAUAUAGAAAUGAAUAGUUAAUAAAUAGCAAUAGAAUAAAUAAACAGGAUAAUAGGAAUAUAGAAAUAAAUUUAUUUCCAUAUUCUUAGGAAUAUAGAAUUAGUUGUUGAAUAAUCACAGCAACUAAACUGUGGAUAGUAGAGGUAGCAUAAUGUAUGCUAUACUGUAUAAAUAUAUAUAUAGUGUCUAAAGACACUUUUAUGUAUGUAUGAGCUGAAUAUAGUUCAUAUGCACAUGUGCAUGUGUACAUGUGGCCAUCAUUAGACAUGUGAUUUACAAAUGUAUAAGCUAAAUGUAUUUUAUGCAUACAUCUGUAUGUGUAUAGACAUGUUUAUAAUUGCAAAGUUAAAAAGUUUAAUUAUAUAUUAUAAAUAUACACAUGUAUGCUUUUCAUAUAGGUAUAAAAUAUAUAACUUACAGAGAUAUUUAAUUAUAAAGAAAUAUAAAUAUAUUGCAUAUAAACAUACAUAUAUCCACCUGUGUAUGUGUAUGCAUAACUAUAGCUAGAUAUUUGGUUUACAUUAAAAGUCACAGUCUCACUGACAGUUACUUAAAACCCCAGGCCUGUCAGAAGCAGGGAGAGGACAGGCUGAGCUAGUUGUGUUUCUAGCUAGCUGUAAAGAUUGUGUGUGUAUAUAAUUAAGAAUACUAUAAUUAAUAGGUUCUAUGCCAUGCCAUUAUUUAAUUAUAAAUUAUUAUAUACCUGAAAGACUUUAUAUGUUUGUAUACAUACCUUUUACAUGUGUGUGUAUAUAUAUGUAUAUUUUAAUAUAUAUUUUCAACACACAUAUGUUCUGAAUACACCACUGUAAUUACUGCACUUGUAUUUUGUCCCUAAGCAGCUGCCCCUGGGCACGCUGCAGGCACAGCCCAUGCCCAGCAGCAGAUGCACAGCGUGCUGGGGUGCUGUGGUUUGGGCUGGGUGCACACAAGGUUCAAAUCAGGGUGUUGCUGGCAGAGCCAAGGUGAUGAACACUGAACUCACCUCAACCUCAACAUGCAGGGGACAGGAGGGGGUGUUGCUGCCGGACACUAUUAAAUGUCUACAGCACCAUCUCAGGUAGGGGUUCUUUCCUGAGCUUGCUGCAAAUCAAAGCAAUCCAUAUCAUCGGCUUUAGACAUU
RNAcentral lists this long non-coding RNA (1246 nucleotides) under Strigops habroptila (Kakapo). RNAcentral describes it as "lncRNA (ENSSHBG00005006025.1)". Lineage: Eukaryota; Metazoa; Chordata; Aves; Psittaciformes; Psittacidae. The record is from RNAcentral.